RNAcentral lists this ribosomal RNA (143 nucleotides) under uncultured bacterium. RNAcentral's name for it is "partial 16S ribosomal RNA". It matches the Rfam family "Bacterial small subunit ribosomal RNA", at positions 372 to 507 of the family's 1533-position model. The record is from RNAcentral.
UGGGCGAAAGCCUGAUCCAGCCAUGCCGCGUGUGUGAAGAAGGUCUUCGGAUUGUAAAGCACUUUAAGUUGGGAGGAAGGGCAGUUACCUAAUACGUGAUUGUUUUGACGUUACCGACAGAAUAAGCACCGGCUAACUCUGUG